ACAGAAAGCUGGAUACCGUCUUCAUCUCAGUUUACGCCAGGAGAAACUCCUGUAUUUGAAAAUGUGGCUGGACCCAUUGUUCUUCUUCUCUUCUUCCUGUUUGGCGUGCUCUGCAAUCUACUGGUGAUUGGUGGAGAGAUGACGGUGAAACACCGUUGGUCCUCACUCCUAGCAGCCAUUAAACUAAUCAACAUAAACCGGGCCAUUGCGCAUACUCUCAUUUGUCUAGUGAAUAUGCACUGUAUGAUUUGGUUCUUGGUGAUGGACUUCCCUCCCACCAUCAUCUCGAAAACCUGGAGUGUUUCAUUCUCUCUUCACCUUGGCAUGUGUA
Molecule: long non-coding RNA, 331 nt
Organism: Eurytemora carolleeae
Lineage: Eukaryota; Metazoa; Arthropoda; Copepoda; Calanoida; Temoridae
Exons: 4
Source: RefSeq, a predicted model, not a curated record